UAUCCAACACCCAAAGCUCUAAUAUAUAGUUUUUUUAAAUACUUAGAGCGAGGUUGCUAUAAGUAGGUUAUAGCGUGUACCCUUUUAAAAUUAUAUGCUCUAAGUAUAAAUGUUUUAAUUAAUACUACUAAAAAUAAAAUGAGUUUCUUAAACAAUAAUAAUUUUUAUCCAGGAUCUAUAACACCUGUAAAAUGUUAUAACGACGCAUUGUUAGAUAAAAAAACUAUUAUACUUGAAAAUAAAGACAAAUCAGGUAUUUAUCGUUGAGUUAAUAAAUUAAACAACAAUACUUAUGUGGGUAGUGGUUUAAAUUUAUCAAAAAGAGUUGGUGAAUAUUAUAGCCAAAGUGAAUUAGAAAGAAACCCUAGACCUAUUCAUGCUGCUUUACUAAAACAUGGAUACAAUAAUUUCAGAUUAGAAAUUUUAGAAUAUUGCAGAGCAGAUGAGCUUAUUGCAAGAGAACAAUAUUAUUUAGAUUUAUUAAACCCUGAAUAUAAUAUAUUAAAACAGGCUUAUUCUUUACUAGGAUUUAAACAUAGUGCUGAAAACAUUGCAAAGUUUAAAUUAAAAAAAAUAAGUAAAGAACAUAAAGAGUUAUUAUCUUCAGUUCAUUUAGGAAAACAAGUUAGUGAAGAAACAAGAAAUAAAUUAUCUCUUGCAACCGCUAACUAUAAAAAACAGAAUCCACUUACAUCGGAAGCUUUAGCUAAUAUUACAGCUAAAACUACAGAGCGUGAGGGAGUGUCUGUUACAUUAUUAAAUAUCCAAACUAAUGAAAAAUUAGAAUUUCCCACUUUAACUAAAGCUGCGGAAUAUUUGGGUAUAAAAAGACAAGCUAUACGAAACGCAAUAAAUAGAAAAAGUGUAAUUAAACAACUUUAUCGUGUUUCAGAGAAUUAGUAGGCAGUAGAUACACCUAUGUAUUAUAAUUAUAUAAAUUACUUUAAUUUCAAUCAUCGUUGGUUGAAAUCAGGUUUAAUAACCUGUUGUCUAAAUGGAUAGUUUAUGCAAAGCUAGUUAACAAAAAACUAGCCUAGUGUAAACGGUUUAGGGAGAAAGAUUUAGCUUAUCCAAUACAGUAAGUUAUUUCUCCCGUGUAUGUCAAAAGGGAAACAGCCCAGAACAAGAGUUAAGGUUCCGAAAUUAUUUGUUAAGUGAAAUUAAGAAGGUUUUUAUUUAAGUCGACAAGGAGAUAGGCUUAGAAGCAGCCAUAAUUUGAUGACCUCGUAACAGAGCGCUUGUUAAAUUAUAAAAGCAUCGAAAAUAUAACGGAUCUAAACAAUAUACCGAAACCUUGUCCAUAACAUAUUAUAAUAAUAAAAAUUCUUAUAAUUAAAUGGGGUAGCAGAACGUUGAGCUAAAGUAUGAGUUUUAUUUUUUAAAUAAAAUUAUAGUAAUUUAACUCAAGUGAGAAUGGUGACAUGAGUAACUAAAAGAAAAUUUUCCGCCUAAAACUUAUGGAUGUAAUUAAGUAACGGCCUCUAAGUUUAUAUAAUCUAAAGAUUUAGACGAUGAGAAAAUCUUUAUUACUAAAAACAACAUUUUAGUGUAAAAUGUGCUGGAAAAAUAGUAAUAUAUUUGUUAAAGAACAAAUAAAAUAACCGUACCUAGAAUCUGAAACAAGUAAGUUAGUAGAGAAUACGAAGGCGUAAAUGAGCUAACAAUCGUAAAGGAACUCGGCAAAUUGACUACCGUAACUUCGGAAUAAGGAGGGCUCAUUAUUCUUGAUUAAUAUCAAGUAAAGAGGAAGAAGCAUGAAAUAAUGUUGUACGACUGUUUAAUUAAAACACAGCACUUUGCUGAAAGAUAAAAAAUCUAAGUAUAAAGUGUGAUAUCUGCCCGGUGCCGGCUGGUUAACAGAUAUAAUUGAAUAUACUAAUAUUUGAUGUAGACGGAAACCCCGGUUAAAGGCGGCCUUAACGUGAGGGUCCUAAGGUAGCGAAAUGCCUUGGCCGUUAAAUGCGGUCUUGCAUGAAUGGUGUAACGAUACAACAGCUGUCUCUACGAUUGACUCAGUGAAAUUGGAAUAGCAGUGCAGAUACUGCUUACCUCUAGUUAGACGAGAAGACCCUAUGCAGCUUUACUGUCACUAAUUAUAGAAUAUGAUAAACGAUUUUCAGAAUAUAAGGUAAUUGAUGGCGUAAGCUUUAUACUAAUGAGAAACCUUUAUUUUUUUUUCAUAUGAAUGAAUUGGUUUAUUAAAAUAAUUUUAAAUUAUUUUAGUAAAUUAACCUAAUUCAACUUAUUUAGAAAUAAAUAAGUAACCUUUGGUAAGGAACUAUUGCUAGGGGACAGUUUAUGUGGGGCACAGACCCUGUAAAGAGUAAACAGGAGUGUCUAAAAAUUUCUAAUUAUUUUGUUUGUUAUUUUAAGUAGUUUAACUAUUUUUAAUCAUAUACAAUUAUUUAUAUUUACUUAUGUAUAUAUAUUUAAAAUUAGGUAAGAUUUUAACUAUAUAGAAAUUAGAGAUAAUUGAAAAUAUUAUGAAGGGGCUUGGCUUCUAUUACGAAGUUUUUAAAGCCCACUAAUAUUUGCUAGCUAUUAUUUAUAAUGGUUAUGUGUUUAAUAUCUAAAAAGCUCAACGGCUAAAUCUUGCCUUACUGUUUGAUUAUCAACAAAUCUUACAGUUGCGUAAGCAGGGCAUAGGAUCACAAGAUACAACAAGGAAAGAUCUUGGAUUAUUGGAAAAGCUACGCUAGGGAUGUUUGUCCUUUAAUAUUUUAUUUAAAUAAAAUUAUUAAUACAUAUUGGGUAAAUUUCAAGAAUUACUAAUAAUAGUAAACUUGAAGCGAAGUUUAUCUUAGCAUAUAUUAUAAGAUAAAAACGUUCAACGACUAUAAGGUGAGUGAUAUGCAAUAUACAAUAAUCCUUUUAUACCACCCAACAUUUUUAUUAAGCAUAUUUUAAAGAAAAAAAAUAAAAUAAAUAAAUUAAUUACGUGUUAUUAUGAACAAUAAACAAGUUAUAAUAAAAAAAAAUUUGAGAGCU
This 2988-nucleotide ribosomal RNA is filed under the name Escovopsis sp. TC. RNAcentral describes it as "bacterial LSU rRNA". The stretch from base 948 to 2023 matches the Rfam family "Bacterial large subunit ribosomal RNA", at positions 573 to 2043 of the family's 2925-position model. Lineage: Eukaryota; Fungi; Ascomycota; Sordariomycetes; Hypocreales; Hypocreaceae. The record is from RNAcentral.